This 292-nucleotide ribosomal RNA is filed under the name uncultured bacterium. RNAcentral's name for it is "partial 16S ribosomal RNA". It matches the Rfam family "Bacterial small subunit ribosomal RNA", at positions 505 to 796 of the family's 1533-position model. The record is from RNAcentral.
GUGCCAGCAGCCGCGGUAAUACGUAGGGGGCAAGCGUUGUCCGGAAUUAUUGGGCGUAAAGAGCUUGUAGGCGGCUUGUCGCGUCUGCUGUGAAAAUCCGAGGCUCAACCUCGGACUUGCAGUGGGUACGGGCAGGCUAGAGUGUGGUAGGGGAGACUGGAAUUCCUGGUGUAGCGGUGAAAUGCGCAGAUAUCAGGAGGAACACCGAUGGCGAAGGCAGGUCUCUGGGCCACUACUGACGCUGAGAAGCGAAAGCAUGGGGAGCGAACAGGAUUAGAUACCCCUGUAGUCC